This 292-nucleotide ribosomal RNA is filed under the name uncultured Bacteroidota bacterium. Its description in RNAcentral is "uncultured Bacteroidetes bacterium partial 16S ribosomal RNA". The record is from RNAcentral. Lineage: Bacteria; Pseudomonadati; Bacteroidota.
GGACUACUGGGGUAUCUAAUCCUGUUUGAUCCCCACGCUUUCGUGCAUGAGCGUCAAUAUCUGCGUAGUAAGCUGCCUUCGCAAUAGGUGUUCUAUGUCAUAUCUAAGCAUUUCACCGCUACAUGACAUAUUCCGCUUACCUCCACAGCAUUCAAGAUAUAUAGUAUCAACGGCAAUUUCCAGGUUAAGCCUAGAGAUUUCACCACUGACUUACAUAUCCGCCUGCGCACCCUUUAAACCCAGUAAAUCCGGAUAACGCUUGCACCCUCCGUAUUACCGCGGCUGCUGGCAC